UGCGUAGGCGGUUCGUUAAGUCUGUCGUGAAAGCCCUGGGCUCAACCUGGGAAUUGCGAUGGAUACUGGCGAGCUAGAGUACGGUAGAGGAUGGUGGAAUUCCCGGUGUAGCGGUGAAAUGCGUAGAGAUCGGGAGGAACACCCGUGGCGAAGGCGGCCAUCUGGACCAGUACUGACGCUGAGGCACGAAAGCGUGGGGAGCAAACA
This 207-nucleotide ribosomal RNA is filed under the name uncultured bacterium. RNAcentral's name for it is "partial 16S ribosomal RNA". It matches the Rfam family "Bacterial small subunit ribosomal RNA", at positions 568 to 774 of the family's 1533-position model. The record is from RNAcentral.